GACGAACGCUGGCGGCGUGCUUAACACAUGCAAGUCGAACGGAAAGGCCCUGCUUUUGUGGGGUGCUCGAGUGGCGAACGGGUGAGUAACACGUGAGUAACCUGCCCUUGACUUUGGGAUAACUUCAGGAAACUGGGGCUAAUACCGGAUUGGAGCUCCUGCUGCAUGGUGGGGGUUGGAAAGUUUCGGCGGUUGGGGAUGGACUCGCGGCUUAUCAGCUUGUUGGUGGGGUAGUGGCUUACCAAGGCUUUGACGGGUAGCCGGCCUGAGAGGGUGACCGGCCACAUUGGGACUGAGAUACGGCCCAGACUCCUACGGGAGGCAGCAGUGGGGAAUAUUGCACAAUGGGCGGAAGCCUGAUGCAGCAACGCCGCGUGCGGGAUGACGGCCUUCGGGUUGUAAACCGCUUUCGCCUGUGACGAAGCGUGAGUGACAGUAAUGGGUAAAGAAGCACCGGCUAACUACGUG
This 468-nucleotide ribosomal RNA is filed under the name uncultured bacterium. RNAcentral describes it as "partial 16S ribosomal RNA". It matches the Rfam family "Bacterial small subunit ribosomal RNA", at positions 28 to 507 of the family's 1533-position model. The record is from RNAcentral.